GGAAGGGCGGGGCGCCCAGGCGGGCUCUGCAAGUCGGCUGGGAUCUGGGCUUUCCCGGAUCGCCUGCCAAGAGGAGGAAGGGCAAGGUGGUGGAUCCUAUCCCCUCUUCUCGCUCUCUACUAACUGCCCUAGGCUUCAGAACCCUGUAAAAGGGCAGAGUCGGAGGGGAAGUGCCCCUGAGGACAAGUGGGACGUUAUAGGGUUGUAGCAACUGGUGCCUUGGAUAUAGAAGGAGGGCCUGUCUCUUGGUGAUGUGGGGGUGGCAUAUCUUAGGGCCACAUUUUGGGAAAUGCUUCCUGAGUGGUUUCCAGUUUGAGACUUUGAAGGGCCUCAGUUUCAACAUCUGUCAGUCAGACAAGAAAUCCUUCCAACCCCUCGGCCCAAGGAGAUCCAGAUGGUCAUGGGACAUUUUUGAAGAUGAAUAAAACCUCUAGCCUGGG
Suricata suricatta (meerkat) is the source of this 440-nucleotide long non-coding RNA. RefSeq lists it as uncharacterized. The transcript is spliced from 3 exons. NCBI's taxonomy places the organism in Eukaryota, Metazoa, Chordata, Mammalia, Carnivora, Herpestidae. The record is from RefSeq and is a predicted model, not a curated record.